This is a long non-coding RNA of Sapajus apella (tufted capuchin), 88 nucleotides long. RefSeq lists it as uncharacterized. The record is from RefSeq and is a predicted model, not a curated record. The transcript has 3 exons. NCBI's taxonomy places the organism in Eukaryota, Metazoa, Chordata, Mammalia, Primates, Cebidae.
CAAAAUCUGUUAACUUUGUCUAAUGCCAUUGUAUUUCUACUCUUAUUUAACUGUUUUACAACUUUUCCAGUAAACUGAGUACAUUUAU